UUGUUGCUACUGCAUGUCUACAAUUAUCUCCAAUUUCUUUUAAUUAAAAAAAAAAAAUUUAAAAAUAGGUCUGCCCUGCUCCAGAAGCUGUCCUCUGAACCAGUUUUCUAGAUUGGUCAUAUUUCCCUUUUCAUGCUUGCUGCUAGGAAGCUCAGAGCAAAAUGUAUGCCCUCUCUCUAACAAGUGUAUAGGACUUCCUGACUACAUUUCUAGGUCUUUCUGUUCCUCUUGCCCUUAUAUCUCUUUGUCCUAUUUGAAAUUGCAUUCAUUUUGUUAAAUUCUUUUUUUUUUUUUUGGAGAUGGAGUCUUGCUCUGUCGCCCAGGCUGGAGUGCAGUGGCGCAAUCUCAGUUCACUGCAAGCUCCGCCUCCCAGGUUCACGCCAUUCUCCUGCCUCAGCCUCCCAAGUAGCUGGGACUACAGGCGCCCGCCACCACGCCUGGCUAAUUUUUUGUAUUUUUAGUAGAGAUGGGGUUUCACUGUGUUAGCCAGAAUGGUCUCGAUCUCCUGGCCUCAUGAUCUGCCCGCCUCAGCCUCCCAAAAUGCUAGGAUUACAGGCAUGAGCCACCAUGCCUGGCCUCAUUUUGUUUUACUAUGUCUUUAAAACUUCUUCAACACUUACUGGAAUAAAGUGGGCUUUAAAGAAAUGAAGCACCGCAGUUCGCAUGGCAGAGGCUGGUCAGCAUGUUGUAACCAGACCAUCAGCCCUCUUACUAGGCCUGCACGCUUUUGCUUUUGCAUUUACAAUCACAUGCCCCAUCCCCUCCACUUGAAAAAGAAUUUUUUUAAUUAUUUUUGUUGUUAUCCAAAAAUCUCAUCUUAAAUCAACCAUCUCCUCUCCCUGUAGCUUCAUUACCAUCUCAGAAGCAGCAAAGGAGCCAACAAAAGCUAAGGUACAGAAAGUUGCUUCAGAGGAUGAUGGUUUCCGCCUUUUCUUCACAUCUGUCCCUGGAGACCGUGAGAAGGAAGAGUCUCCCCAACCCUGCCGAAAGCGACAGCCCUCCAGCUCCAGCAGUGAGGACAGUGACGAGGAGUGGCGGCGGUGCCGGGAGGCAGCUGUGUCGGCGUCCGACAUUCUGCAGGAGUCAGCCAUCCACAGCCCUGGCACAGUGGAGAAGGAGGCAAAGAAGAAAAGGAAGUUGAAAAAGAAAGCCAAGAAGGUGGCCAGUGUCGACUCGGCUGUCGCUGCCACCACUCCCACCAGCAUGGCCACAGUCCAGAAGCAGAAGUCAGGUGAGCUCAACGGGGACCAGGUGUCACUUGGGACCAAAAGGAAGAAAAAGAAGAAAAAGGCAAAGAAGGCCAGCGAGGCCUCUCCAUUCCCACCAGCAAAGAGUGCCACAGCUGUACCUGCAAACUGAACCCAGCCAUGGGCACAGGGCUCAGCCAGCUCCAAGGACAAGGUGCCCCUACCCCCCCCGCCCCGGGGACAAGGAAUUUCCAAGCUCCACCUCCCUCUCCAAGUUCAAGGACUGGGCUGGCAAACCCAGACUGCCCAUGAGACCCUGAUGGUGAUGAGGGCUUGCUCGAGAGUUGGGCCAAAAAAGUGGCUGUAGGGUGAGAAGCCCAAUCAAGGCCUGCCCCUCUGUGCUCCCACGGAGGGCUGGCGGGGGGCGCUGUGGUUCCAGAACAUUUCAUGACCUCAGGAAAAAAGGAACCUUCCGGUUAUUUGAGACUAAUGGCCAAGUGGUGAAACCUCCAUCUCCCUAGAACCGUCUGCGGUGGGCAGG
This 1728-nucleotide small RNA is filed under the name Pongo abelii (Sumatran orangutan). RNAcentral describes it as "retained intron". Lineage: Eukaryota; Metazoa; Chordata; Mammalia; Primates; Hominidae. The record is from RNAcentral.